GUAGAGACAGAGAGAGAGAGAGGGUAGAGACAGAGAGAGAGAGAGGGUAGAGACAGAGAGAGAGAGGGUAGAGACAGAGAGAGGGUAGAGACAGAGAGAGGGUAGAGACAGAGAGAGAGAGGAGACAGAGAGAGAGAGAGAGAGAGAGAGGGUAGAGACAGAGAGAGAGAGGGUAGAGACAGAGAGAGAGGGUAGAGACAGAGAGAGAGAGAGGGUAGAGACAGAGAGAGAGAGAGGGUAGAGACAGAGAGAGAGAGGGUAGAGACAGAGAGAGGGUAGAGACAGAGAGAGAGAGGGUAGAGACAGAGAGAGAGAGAGAGAGAGGGUAGAGACAGAGAGAGAGAGGGUAGAGACAGAGAGAGAGAGGGUAGAGACAGAGAGAGAGAGGGUAGAGACAGAGAGAGAGAGGGUAGAGACAGAGAGAGAGAGAGGGUAGAGACAGAGAGAGAGAGAGGGUAGAGACAGAGAGAGAGAGAGGGUAGAGACAGAGAGAGAGAGAGGGUAGAGACAGAGAGAGAGAGAGGACACAGAGAGAGAGAGAGAGAGAGAGAGGGUAGAGACAGAGAGAGAGAGGGUAGAGACAGAGAGAGGGAGGGUAGAGACAGAGAGAGGGUAGAGACAGAGAGAGAGAGAGGGUAGAGACAGAGAGAGGGUAGAGACAGAGAGAGAGAGGGUAGAGACAGAGAGAGAGAGGGUAGAGACAGAGAGAGAGAGGGUAGAGACAGAGAGAGAGAGAGGGUAGAGACAGAGAGAGA
This 755-nucleotide long non-coding RNA is filed under the name Salmo salar (Atlantic salmon). RNAcentral describes it as "lncRNA (ENSSSAG00000116473.1)". The record is from RNAcentral. Lineage: Eukaryota; Metazoa; Chordata; Actinopteri; Salmoniformes; Salmonidae.